This 69-nucleotide transfer RNA is filed under the name Perdix dauurica (Daurian partridge). RNAcentral describes it as "tRNA-Arg". Lineage: Eukaryota; Metazoa; Chordata; Aves; Galliformes; Phasianidae. The record is from RNAcentral.
AGGAAGUUAGUCUAAUCAAGACAGCUGGUUUCGGCCCAGCAGAUUAUAGAUUUCCCCUAUAACUUCCUC